RNAcentral lists this transfer RNA (67 nucleotides) under Drosophila flavomontana. RNAcentral's name for it is "tRNA-Tyr". It matches the Rfam family "tRNA". Rfam says of the family: Transfer RNA (tRNA) molecules are approximately 80 nucleotides in length. Lineage: Eukaryota; Metazoa; Arthropoda; Insecta; Diptera; Drosophilidae. The record is from RNAcentral.
GAUUAAGUGGCUGAAGUUAGGCGAUAGAUUGUAAAUCUAUUUAUAAGAAUUUUUCUUCUUAAUCAAU